AUUAAACGCUGGCGGCAUGCCUUACACAUGCAAGUCGAACGGCAGCACGGGGGCAACCCUGGUGGCGAGUGGCGGACGGGUGAGUAAAGCAUCGGAACGUAUCCUGGAGUGGGGGAUAACGUAGCGAAAGUUACGCUAAUACCGCAUAUUCUGUGAGCAGGAAAGCAGGGGAUCGCAAGACCUUGCGCUCUGGGAGCGGGCCGAUGUCGGAUUAGCUAGUUGGUGGGUAAAGGCCUACCAAGGCGACGAUCCGUAGCGGGUCUGAGAGGAUGAUCCGCCACACUGGGACUGAGACACGGCCCAGACUCCUACGGGAGGCAGCAGUGGGAAUUUGGACAAUGGGCGCAAGCCUGAUCCAGCCAUGCCGCGUGAGUGAAGAAGGCCUCGGUUGGUUAAACG
This 399-nucleotide ribosomal RNA is filed under the name uncultured bacterium. RNAcentral describes it as "bacterial SSU rRNA". It matches the Rfam family "Bacterial small subunit ribosomal RNA", at positions 29 to 432 of the family's 1533-position model. The record is from RNAcentral.